UCCCAGGUGGCUCAGAUGGUAAAGGGUCUGCCUGCAAUGCAGAAGACCCAGGUUCGAUCCCUGGAUUGGGAA
RNAcentral lists this transfer RNA (72 nucleotides) under Bos taurus (domestic cattle). It matches the Rfam family "tRNA". From Rfam's summary of the family: Transfer RNA (tRNA) molecules are approximately 80 nucleotides in length. Their secondary structure includes four short double-helical elements and three loops (D, anti-codon, and T loops). Further hydrogen bonds mediate the characteristic L-shaped molecular structure. tRNAs have two regions of fundamental functional importance: the anti-codon, which is responsible for specific mRNA codon recognition, and the 3' end, to which the tRNAs corresponding amino acid is attached (by aminoacyl-tRNA synthetases). tRNAs cope with the degeneracy of the genetic code in two manners: having more than one tRNA (with a specific anti-codon) for a particular amino acid; and 'wobble' base-pairing, i.e. permitting non-standard base-pairing at the 3rd anti-codon position. The record is from Rfam by way of RNAcentral. RNAcentral also lists the same sequence under 2 other names. Lineage: Eukaryota; Metazoa; Chordata; Mammalia; Artiodactyla; Bovidae.